GACACCGCGUGUGGGAUGACGGAUCUAGGUUUGUAAACCACUUUCAGGAGGGAAGAAAAUGACGGUACCUCCACAAGAAGCCCCGGCCAACUACGUGCCAGCAGCCGCGGUAAUACGUAGGGGGCGAGCGUUGUCCGGAUUUAUUGGGCGUAAAGAGCUCGUAGGCGGUUCAACAAGUCGGUCGUAAAAGUUCAGGGCUCAACCCUGAAAUGUCGAUCGAUACUGUUGUGACUAGGAUACGGCAGAGGUGAGUGGAAUUCCGAGUGUAGCGGUGAAAUGCGUAGAUAUUCGGAGGAACACCAAUUGCGAAGGCAGCUCACUGGGCCGCUAUCGACGGUGAGGAGCGAAAGCUAGGGGAGCAAACAGGAUUAGAUACCCUGGUAGUCCUAGCUGUAAACGAUGGAUACUAGACGUAGGAACUGGAUUGACGGUUUCUGUGUCGUAGCUAACGCGUUAAGUAUCCCGCCUGGGGAGUACGGUCGCAAGACUAAAACUCAAAGGAAUUGACGGG
This 511-nucleotide ribosomal RNA is filed under the name uncultured bacterium. RNAcentral's name for it is "bacterial SSU rRNA". It matches the Rfam family "Bacterial small subunit ribosomal RNA", at positions 393 to 917 of the family's 1533-position model. The record is from RNAcentral.